Molecule: ribosomal RNA, 979 nt
Filed under: Bacillus pumilus
Lineage: Bacteria; Bacillati; Bacillota; Bacilli; Caryophanales; Bacillaceae
Description: bacterial SSU rRNA
Rfam family: Bacterial small subunit ribosomal RNA
Source: RNAcentral
GUCUAUACAUGCAGUCGAGCGGACAGAAGGGAGCUUGCUCCCGGAUGUUAGCGGCGGACGGGUGAGUAACACGUGGGUAACCUGCCUGUAAGACUGGGAUAACUCCGGGAAACCGGAGCUAAUACCGGAUAGUUCCUUGAACCGCAUGGUUCAAGGAUGAAAGACGGUUUCGGCUGUCACUUACAGAUGGACCCGCGGCGCAUUAGCUAGUUGGUGAGGUAACGGCUCACCAAGGCGACGAUGCGUAGCCGACCUGAGAGGGUGAUCGGCCACACUGGGACUGAGACACGGCCCAGACUCCUACGGGAGGCAGCAGUAGGGAAUCUUCCGCAAUGGACGAAAGUCUGACGGAGCAACGCCGCGUGAGUGAUGAAGGUUUUCGGAUCGUAAAGCUCUGUUGUUAGGGAAGAACAAGUGCAAGAGUAACUGCUUGCACCUUGACGGUACCUAACCAGAAAGCCACGGCUAACUACGUGCCAGCAGCCGCGGUAAUACGUAGGUGGCAAGCGUUGUCCGGAAUUAUUGGGCGUAAAGGGCUCGCAGGCGGUUUCUUAAGUCUGAUGUGAAAGCCCCCGGCUCAACCGGGGAGGGUCAUUGGAAACUGGGAAACUUGAGUGCAGAAGAGGAGAGUGGAAUUCCACGUGUAGCGGUGAAAUGCGUAGAGAUGUGGAGGAACACCAGUGGCGAAGGCGACUCUCUGGUCUGUAACUGACGCUGAGGAGCGAAAGCGUGGGGAGCGAACAGGAUUAGAUACCCUGGUAGUCCACGCCGUAACGAUGAGUGCUAAGUGUUAGGGGUUUCCGCCCCUUAGUGCUGCAGCUAACGCAUUAAGCACUCCGCCUGGGGAGUACGGUCGCAAGACUGAAACUCAAAGGAAUUGACGGGGGCCCGCACAAGCGGUGGAGCAUGUGUUUAAUUCGAAGCAACGCGAAGAACCUUACCAGGUCUUGACAUCCUCUGACAACCCUAGAGAUAGGGC